This 831-nucleotide ribosomal RNA is filed under the name uncultured bacterium. RNAcentral describes it as "bacterial SSU rRNA". It matches the Rfam family "Bacterial small subunit ribosomal RNA", at positions 684 to 1504 of the family's 1533-position model. The record is from RNAcentral.
AAAUGCGUAGAUAUCAAGAAGAACACCGGAGGCGAAAGCGGCUCUCUGGACUGAUACUGACACUGAGGCAUGAAAGCUGGGGGAGCAAACAGGAUUAGAUACCCUGGUAGUCCCAGCCAUAAACGGUGUACACUUGGUGUGGGAGGAUUUGACCCCUUCCGUACUGGAGCUAACGCGUUAAGUGUACCGCCUGGGGAGUACGGCCGCAAGGCUAAAACUCAAAGAAAUUGACGGGGGCCCGCACAAGCGGAGGAGCAUGUGGCUUAAUUCGAUGCAACGCGAAGAACCUUACCAGGACUUGACAUGCAACUGCACGUCCCGUGAAAAUGGGACUCCUUCGAGGGUGUUGCACAGGUGCUGCAUGGCUGUCGUCAGUUCGUGCCGUGAGGUGUUGGGUUAAGUCCCGCAACGAACGCAACCCUUGUGUUUAGUUGCCACCGCCGGUGAUGAGCCGGCGAGCACUCUAGACAGACUGCCCAUAUCAAGUGGGAGGAAGGUGGGGAUGACGUCAAGUCAGUAUGGCCUUUAUGUCCUGGGCUGCACACGUGCUACAAUGGCCGGCACAAUGGGAUGCAAGACCGCAAGGUGGAGCCAAUCCUUAAAAACCGGCCCCAGUUCGGAUUGGAGUCUGCAAUUCGACUCCAUGAAGUUGGAUUCGCUAGUAAUGGCGCAUCAGAUACGGCGCCGUGAAUACGUUCCCGGGCCUUGUACACACCGCCCGUCACAUCAUGAAAGCUGUCUGCACCAGAAGGCGCUGCUCCAACCCGCAAGGGCGGAAGGCGCCGAAGGUGUGGGUGGUGAUUGGGAUGAAGUCGUAACAAGGUAACCGUA